This 967-nucleotide long non-coding RNA is filed under the name Lathyrus oleraceus (garden pea). RNAcentral's name for it is "Pisum sativum (pea) long non-coding RNA (PSAT_LNC021725)". The record is from RNAcentral. Lineage: Eukaryota; Viridiplantae; Streptophyta; Magnoliopsida; Fabales; Fabaceae.
CAUUUUACUAAUGAUAAAAGGUGAUUGAAGAUGUAAGAGCAUAAACCUAAAAGUACUGCUACUCACAGAAUUAAAUAAUGUCAAACAAGUUUUUUUUAGAGAUAUUUUACUAAAGUAAUUUUCACAACAUUCUAUCUUCAAAAUAACAUCCUUAAAACAAAAUAUUGAGAUGAUCAUUAAGCUUAUGGUUCCUUGAUGUUAGUGUUUCUAGUGUUAUGAAAAUAUCCUCUUAAAAAGAAAAGGUCCUUAAGAGGCUAACUAAUACAUACCUAGUUCAUAGUUAAUACAAUGAUUAUUAUUUUCGAAUGAUGUCUCAGAAAACAUUAGAGACCCAACCAUAAUUAGACAUGGCCAUCACAAACUCAACAAUGCAAUGCAAAAAUCAAACAUGGCUAUCACAAACUCAGCAAUACAAUGCAAAAUUCAGGCCUGACCAUGACAAACUAAGCAACACAACACAAAAAUCAGACAUGGCGAUCACAAGCUCGACAACAUAACUAUCAGACCCAACCGUUACAAACUCAGCAACGCAAUAAUCAGACCCGACCAUCACAAACUCACAAACUUGGUUGCCCUGAGAGAUAUCUAGAAAAUACAUACAAAAGACAAAUAGAUAAAAAUAUCUAGAAGCCCUUCUCUUUUUAGUAUGGGAAGCCCUGACUUUUCUUUCCAAUAAAUCAUUUCUCUCUAUUUAUCGAUCAUUUGAGCGGGUGAGGAGCUUCCUUCUUACAUAGGGUUUGAUGUUACUCAUAAUCUUUACCUUCUUAUAUGUUUGUUACUUGCAAUGGAUAGAGAUUUGAGGGAAGGAAACAACGGUGGCUAAGGUAUUUUUAGGCGAGAAUUUGUUUGAUUUUUGUCGAGGUGGAAAGAGAGAAUGAAAUGUUAUUGAAAAAUAAAAAUAUAAAAUGUUAAUAAAAAUUAAGUGUGACCCACUUGAAUAGAAGAAAAGAAAAAGCUAGAAAAUGGU